AUCACCUGUCCAGGGUCGAGGAAGUGGAUGUGCGUGUCGAUUCCACCAGCCGUGAUGAUUUUGUUUUCCCCAGCAAUGACAUCGGUAUUGGCCCCGAUAAUUAUACCUUCAUCGAUAUCAUUCAUGGUAUCAGGAUUCCCGGCUCUUCCAAUGCCAGAUAUCUUGCCGUCUUUGACGCCUAUAUCCGCCUUGAAGAUGCCCGAAUGAUCGAUGAUCAAGGCGUUGGUUAUGACCGUGUCCGCGCAAGUGUAGCCCUUUCCUCCCCCGGAAGAUCCAUUGCUGGUCUGGCCCAUCCCGUCUCGGAU
RNAcentral lists this small RNA (305 nucleotides) under Aspergillus fischeri NRRL 181. RNAcentral's name for it is "Neosartorya fischeri NRRL 181 5' ureB small RNA". It matches the Rfam family "5' ureB small RNA". The record is from Rfam by way of RNAcentral. Lineage: Eukaryota; Fungi; Ascomycota; Eurotiomycetes; Eurotiales; Aspergillaceae.